CCCAGCCUGGGCUGGAAUCCAGGAGCAUGACAAUAAUGGGGCAAUGGUUUUAUUUUCAGAUGUUGAAGUGGGUAAGAGUAGCGGUGGACCCCGCUACUCUUACCUUCAUCAGGUACAUGAGUUCAGUCACCAGGUCUUCCAGAGACCUCUUGAGAACAAGCUCUUUGUGCUGACAAAAUAUUAGUUCCACGCUCCAAGGUCCACAUUCCUGGGCUACGUCAUUGCAGAGAGGCAGCUCCAGAUGGACCCAACCAAGGCUUAAUGAGGUGGACAAAAAUUAUGGGAUCGGAGACAGGGAACUCUCGGCGAUGAAGAUGACAGAAAAAUGGUAGCAUUUUCUAGAAGGAGCAGAACACUCAUUCAUCAUGUGGACCAAUCAAAAUAAUUUGGAUUACAUCCACUCUGCUAAGAGACUGACGCCCUGUCAAGCCAGGUGGGCACUGGUUUUUGACCUGUUCACAUUCACUUUGUUCUAUUGCCGAGAGUCCCAUAACGUCAAGCCUGUCCUGCCAGUUUGCUACAGGAUGCCAAAACCGAUGCUGAUACUGUCUUGCCUCGCAGUUGCUUUGACGUCAAUUACAUUGGAAAAAGAAACACUGAUAAAGGAGCCUCACUCCCAACGCACACUGCUCCACCCCUCCUCCUCCAUGAAUGAUUGAUGGACAUACCACUUACUCUGUGAACAAGCUCCUGGAUGAUCAUUACUGUGAGUAAUGUCUCCAGUGCCUGGUUGAAUGGGACACCUAUCUGGCAAGCUCUCUGCCUACGACCAACUCAUUGUCGGAUGGUUGGAUAUGAACUUUGUUCCACGGAAACUGUGAGCCAACAGCUGGAUGAUGAACGUGCAGUGGCUUCCUGGCAGACAAGCUCCUUGGGGCAAAGCAAACAUAUUUGAUGGAUCACCUGUUUGGGUCCGAAUUGCUCGCCAUUUAGUUGGAAAGUUGUGAUGUCAUUGUAAGAUUGAAUGUCAGCUGCUAUAUAUUUCCAAGAUGCAAAGAGGAGGAUUUACUAUACGGUGCGAUUUAUGAAUCGGUGCGGUACGCUUAUCGAGUUGCUCAUUUAAAAAAAAAAAAAAAAACAACAACAACAUAUAUUUACAACUUCUGGGAGCAUAAAGAAUAGGAUUUGUGCUUUAUUUCUGACAGAAAGAGGACAGUUAUAUGAAUUCUCAGUAUAGACCACUGAAUUGAUUAAUUAGAAUGAACUUAACCCAAUGCCUCCAGCUGUUUGGUACGUAAUUUCUGUCAGACAUAAUGUUAAGUGUCUAUUGUCAGCAAAAGAGUUUAGAUUCCAUUAUUCUAAAAAAGUAUUAUAUCAAGUUUUAUUAUGUAGCAUCUCUAUGCAUAUCUGUAGCGAUGCGGGAGAGGAGUGAAAAACAAAAUACACAAAAACAAAAUUUUGUCAACAAAAUAGCAGUUUCUUAACAUUUUAAGUGUGUUCGUCUCAGUGAGGUUUUUGAAAGCUGAGAUAGAAGCAAUGACAACACAAAAUUGGCAACAGUGGGCGUGAACGACUACCAUUAAGCUUGAGCAGAUGAGACAGAAAAUCUAUUACACAGUUUUUGUGCUAACGCAGUCAGAAUUUUAUGAUGCCAACAUAAAAAAACUUGCUCGGGUCGUAUGGCACAAGACUAUAAAUACAGCUGAACAGCAUCAGCCUCUGUCUUCAUACACGUGAGCAAACAAAGCAGAGUGAAUUUAAAACUAUCCAACAAGCUCAGCGGCUUGAGACUUUGACAAAUCUUGCCGUGCCCGACAAUGAAGAAGCGGUUCUCCAUAAUUGGUGCCUGCACACCUAUGUUGUAUUUUGUCUUCAUUCAACCGGGUGGGUGUGAAUCAGUUGUGGCAGACAAAGCUCAACUCUUUCUUUUUUUUUUUUUUUUUUUUUGCCCCAGUUUCUUUCUACCAGUCGAAGAUUGUAAUGCUGAUUCAUUUGGAAAUCUAUUGGAAAUGAGUCUCAUGGGAAAGGCAGCCAGUUCUUUUAAGCAACUGCGAAAAGAAAUGAAGGACGAAGAUAAAAACUUCUUUCAAGUGGACAUUAAACAUUAAAAUGCCCGACCUUAACUUUUGGAAUUAGAGGAAAUACCUUCUUGUUAAAAUGGCUUUUAGAGACGCGCAGCCAGGAUACAUCAAUUUGUAAAACUUACUUCUUUUUCCUUUUUUUACAUGAAUGAUUAACAAGUGAUUUGGCAACCAAAAGAUUUCUUCUUCUUUCUUGUAUUUAAUAUGAUGAAAAAUCUUUUUUUCUUUCAUUUAUAAACAGCUCAGAUACUUCCCGAAAUCCCAGCCAAGAUGCUACUUGGUGUUGUUCACUUCUCCCUCAGCAGAUUAUCAUGUUUCAUAACACUCACACUGCAUAUUAUCUCUACCUCAAUAGUGGUCAACAUGCAAAGUAGCGUCAGUACAGUAUACUUAAUUAGCAAAUCAGUGAGAUUUUUGUUGUAACACCUCCUCUCUUUUUGCCCGCGAAUCUGCACUUAGUUUGGGGCUCUUCAAUGGAAAAACAGAGCUGUGGACAUUUUACGAGUAUAAUUAGAAGUGAAGCUGGAUCCAUCUAAUGGUUUCACGCAAUUUGGCUGUGUUGCCAUUGGCCAUUCAGUAAUUGUCAGUUCUGUCUACACUUCCGAUGAGCAGCAGCCAUUUCUCAAAGACAUUACUUUGACCAUUUCUGUUUUCAUUUGCUAAAGUUAAGAAUGCACUUUUUCCUGAAAAAGAGCUUCCUAAAAGCUUAUUGAAUGUUUUUUUUUUACUUCUUUAUUUUUUUUUCUUACAAU
Syngnathoides biaculeatus (alligator pipefish) is the source of this 2773-nucleotide long non-coding RNA. RefSeq lists it as uncharacterized. The record is from RefSeq and is a predicted model, not a curated record. The transcript is spliced from 3 exons. Lineage: Eukaryota; Metazoa; Chordata; Actinopteri; Syngnathiformes; Syngnathidae.